RNAcentral lists this ribosomal RNA (216 nucleotides) under Salmonella enterica subsp. enterica serovar Infantis. RNAcentral's name for it is "partial 16S ribosomal RNA". It matches the Rfam family "Bacterial small subunit ribosomal RNA", at positions 1 to 217 of the family's 1533-position model. RNAcentral also lists the same sequence under 1 other name. The record is from RNAcentral. Lineage: Bacteria; Pseudomonadati; Pseudomonadota; Gammaproteobacteria; Enterobacterales; Enterobacteriaceae.
AAAUUGAAGAGUUUGAUCAUGGCUCAGAUUGAACGCUGGCGGCAGGCCUAACACAUGCAAGUCGAACGGUAGCACAGAGAGCUUGCUCUCGGGUGACGAGUGGCGGACGGGUGAGUAAUGUCUGGGAAACUGCCUGAUGGAGGGGGAUAACUACUGGAAACGGUGGCUAAUACCGCAUAACGUCGCAAGACCAAAGAGGGGGACCUUCGGGCCUCU